RNAcentral lists this small nuclear RNA (142 nucleotides) under Drosophila persimilis. RNAcentral's name for it is "snRNA:U4:3". It matches the Rfam family "U4 spliceosomal RNA". From Rfam's summary of the family: U4 small nuclear RNA (U4 snRNA) is a component of the major U2-dependent spliceosome. The structure of U4 snRNA from yeast and human has been reported. U4 snRNA presents a k-turn RNA motif in the 5p-SL related to recognition of Snu13 protein. RNAcentral also lists the same sequence under 1 other name. The record is from RNAcentral. Lineage: Eukaryota; Metazoa; Arthropoda; Insecta; Diptera; Drosophilidae.
AUCUUUGCGCAGAGGCAUUAUCGUAACCAAUGAAGUUCUACUGAGGUGCGAUUAUUGCUAGUUGAAAACUUUAACCAAUACCCCGCCAUGAGGACGUGAAAUACCGUCCGCUACGGCAAUUUUUGGAAGCCCGUGAGGGCCA